Molecule: long non-coding RNA, 429 nt
Filed under: Brassica napus (rape)
Lineage: Eukaryota; Viridiplantae; Streptophyta; Magnoliopsida; Brassicales; Brassicaceae
Description: long non-coding RNA (BNAP_LNC019897)
Source: RNAcentral
UCAUGAGUGUUCUAUUCCAUAUCACCAAUGCAGUAUACAACACCAACCCCAUACAACCUUUACAUAAUUAACCAGAUAAUAACCUCACCAUAAACCUCUAAAUACUUAACCUUAAACAUAAUCAGUAAACCCUAAACUAAAAUAUAAACCCUAAAGUCAAAUAUAAACCUUCAACAUAAAUAGAAUGGAACUAAAUAAAUAGCAUAGUACAUAUUGGUGAAAUUAUGAAAUGUCUAUGAUAUCAUGGAAGUAGUUAAUGCUAACCCCAACCUUACUCCCUCCACCGACACUAUACCCUAAACCCAAAUAUAAACCAUAAACUCAAAUAUUAAAAGUAUGUAAGUAAUUAAUUUUCCUUAAAUCAUAAACCUAACCCCCAAUCACACAUCCCUAUAAAUUCUAAACUUUAAACUUUAUUUACUAAACCCU